This 486-nucleotide ribosomal RNA is filed under the name uncultured bacterium. Its description in RNAcentral is "partial 16S ribosomal RNA". It matches the Rfam family "Bacterial small subunit ribosomal RNA", at positions 28 to 507 of the family's 1533-position model. The record is from RNAcentral.
GAUGAACGCUGGCGGCGUGCCUAAUACAUGCAAGUCGAACGCUGGAGAUCUAGCUUGCUAGAUCGAAGGAGUGGCGAACGGGUGAGUAAUACAUAAGCAACCUACCCACGAAGACUGGGAUAAUCUCUGGAAACGGGGACUAAUACCGGAUAGGUAAUCGGAAGGCAUCUUCUGGUUAUUAAAGGUUAAAAACACUGGUGGAUGGGCUUAUGGCGCAUUAGUUAGUUGGUGAGGUAACGGCCCACCAAGACGAUGAUGCGUAGCCGGCCUGAGAGGGUGAACGGCCACAUUGGGACUGAGACACGGCCCAGACUCCUACGGGAGGCAGCAGUAGGGAAUUUUCGGCAAUGGGGGCAACCCUGACCGAGCAACGCCGCGUGAGUGAAGACGGCCUUCGGGUUGUAAAGCUCCGUUGUAAGGGAAGAACGGUAGAUAGAGAAUAUCUAAGUGACGGUACCUUACCAGAAAGCCACGGCUAACUACGUG